Molecule: small nucleolar RNA, 123 nt
Organism: Arabis alpina (gray rockcress)
Lineage: Eukaryota; Viridiplantae; Streptophyta; Magnoliopsida; Brassicales; Brassicaceae
Rfam family: Small nucleolar RNA SNORD14
About the family: U14 small nucleolar RNA (U14 snoRNA) is required for early cleavages of eukaryotic precursor rRNAs. In yeasts, this molecule possess a stem-loop region (known as the Y-domain) which is essential for function. A similar structure, but with a different consensus sequence, is found in plants, but is absent in vertebrates.
Source: Rfam
UGUUGAUGAUGAUAAUCCAAAGGCUUGUUUCUCAAAACAUUCGCAGAUGCCGCCUAAGAACUUUCGCCUUUCGCCAGGCUUGAGAGUUAAUGCUGUUUUAUCCUUCCUUGGAUGUCUGAAACU